UGGGGAAUUUUGGACAAUGGGCGCAAGCCUGAUCCAGCCAUGCCGCGUGAGUGAAGAAGGCCUUCGGGUUGUAAAGCUCUUUCGGUUGGGAAGAAAUUGCUUCGGAUAAUACCCGGAGUAGAUGACGGUACCAGCAUAAGAAGCACCGGCUAACUACGUGCCAGCAGCCGCGGUAAUACGUAGGGUGCGAGCGUUAAUCGGAAUUACUGGGCGUAAAGCGUGCGCAGGCGGUUUUGUAAGUCAGAGGUGAAAGCCCCGGGCUCAACCUGGGAACUGCAUUUGAGACUGCAAGGCUAGAGUGUGGCAGAGGGGGGUGGAAUUCCACGUGUAGCAGUGAAAUGCGUAGAGAUGUGGAGGAACACCGAUGGCGAAGGCAGCCCCCUGGGCCAAUACUGACGCUCAUGCACGAAAGCGUGGAGCAAACA
This 425-nucleotide ribosomal RNA is filed under the name uncultured prokaryote. RNAcentral's name for it is "bacterial SSU rRNA". It matches the Rfam family "Bacterial small subunit ribosomal RNA", at positions 355 to 774 of the family's 1533-position model. The record is from RNAcentral.